Molecule: long non-coding RNA, 801 nt
Organism: Triticum urartu
Lineage: Eukaryota; Viridiplantae; Streptophyta; Magnoliopsida; Poales; Poaceae
Source: RefSeq, a predicted model, not a curated record
AAAACGAGCGGCGGUGUCGCUUGCAGCCUCUGGUAAAGAUUGUUGGCACAAAGGAGAGAGGCCUAAAAUAGGAGACGCUGAGAGAGGAACAGAUACAUCCUCGUCGCAGCAAGACCACACGACGGCUCACCCUCGUCAGCGACAGCUUCCCUCUCCCUGUAAUCCUUAGCCCCCUGCCAUCUGGGUGCGCCGUCCCCUUCCAGGCACAGCCGCCAGCGACCUUUCCUUCACCAUCACCGUCUCUCCACCCUGAGCUCCGACCUACCCACCAUGUCAAGCAGGUCCAGAUCCGCCACGGCUCCCACAGCCACGCGCCGGCAGACCAAUCAGGCGCGCAGGUGCACGACGUGUGGUUAUACUCUUCCACUCUCGUGGCCACCAUUCUGCUUCCUCCCCUCCCUUGGUUCAGCAGCAGUAGUGACACGCGAUUUGGAGGGAAUAAGCUGAGCAAUUGCAGCCGUCCUCCUCGCCUAGGAGGAGGAGCUCCAUCACAUUAGCAGCAGCUCAGGCAGGACAUGAAGCCGUGGCUCUUCAAGGUCAUCCCUGGCCCCACCGACAAACCCAGGAUCGCCGUGGACUACAAGGUGUACCCGUGCAAUGCUUGUUUCCUUGAAUCAGAAGCUCGAUGCAAGCAAACUGCAGUGUUUAACUGAAUGUGUUUUGAUACCAUUCUCUGUUUUAGCUAGGGAGAACAGACUAGUGUUUUUUGUGCACGCUAUUCCUUCGAAACUUGUAUGUCUGUGAUCAAAUAACUUUUAUGACACGUGAAGUAUAACAGUCUGUUCUGUCUCAUUUGAUCAA